GUGGGGAAUAUUGGGCAAUGGGCGAAAGCCUGACCCAGCAACGCCGCGUGAAGGAAGAAGGUCUUCGGAUCGUAAACUUCUAUCCUUGGUGAAGAUAAUGACGGUAGCCGAGAAGGAAGCCCCGGCAAACUACGUGCCAGCAGCCGCGGUAAUACGUAGGGGGCAAGCGUUGUCCGGAAUGAUUGGGCGUAAAGGGCGCGUAGGCGGCCUGGUAAGUCUGGAGGGAAAGUCCUGCUUUUAAGGUGGGAAUUGCUUUGGAUACUGUCGGGCUUGAGUGCAGGAGAGGUAAGCGGAAUUCCCGGUGUAGCGGUGAAAUGCGUAGAGAUCGGGAGGAACACCAGUGGCGAAGGCGACUUACUGGACUGUAACUGACGCUGAGGCGCGAAAGUGUGGGGAGCAAACAGGAUUAGAUACCCUGGUAGUCC
RNAcentral lists this ribosomal RNA (425 nucleotides) under uncultured bacterium. RNAcentral's name for it is "partial 16S ribosomal RNA". It matches the Rfam family "Bacterial small subunit ribosomal RNA", at positions 354 to 796 of the family's 1533-position model. The record is from RNAcentral.